CUAACCGGAUUCCCUCAGUAACGGCGAGUGAACAGGGAUUAGCCCAGCACCGAAGCCUGUAGUCAUUUGAUUGCUAGGCAAUGUGGUGUUUAGAUCAGUUCUUGGCAUUUUUGCUUCAUUCCAAGUCCAUUAAUGAGUAUGGCAUUUAGACUGGCCCAAAGAAGGUGAAAGGCCUGUGGGAAUGAAGAUGCAGUUUUUCAAAUUUGCUUUGAAUUGGUCUUGGAGUCGGGUUGUUUGUGAAUGCAGCCCAAAGUGGGUGGUAGACUCCAUCCAAGGCUAAAUACUGGCACGAAUCCGAUAGCAAACAAGUACCGUGAGGGAAAGUUGAAAAGUACUUUGAAGAGAGAGUAAACAGUGCGUGAAACCGCUCAGAGGUAAACGGGUGGAGUUGAACUGAAAUCAGCAGAGAUUUAGCUGAUAGACUGGUGGCAUUCGGAUUUUGCUUUAUUGCAAACUUGGGUUUUCCUUUGGAAGGCUUGAGUGUAUGUAGUUGUAAACUUGUUCGUUCCGUUUGCAUGUCUAGUUUGUCGGUGCAUUUUUCUGUUGUGAUCACCACGACCGACGUGGUUGUCUCAUUGCUGUAGUUGGUGCCAACCAAUUAUAAUCAUUUGAGUAUAGUUGGUUUGGAGUAGCAGGUAAUUUGGUUACUCCUUGGAAUAAUUAAAUGUUAUAGCUGACUGCAGUGAUGUUGUGCAAUAUGUUGGAGAUGACGGCUGUGCUAACGUUGUGUGAUUAUUUGAAUCAGAUUUGAUUGGCUGCACCUGGUUUUGCUGGGUCUGUCAGUAGUUUGGUUGGAAUGACCAUGCUAAUGUGUGCACCUUGUUUGGGCCUAUAGUCUGUGGUGUAGUGGUAGACGAUCCACCUGACCCGUCUUGAAACACGGACCAAGGAGUUUAACAUGUGCGCGAGUCAAUGGGCGUUACGAAACCCAAAGGCGUAAUGAAAGUAAAGGUUUGGCUUUUUGUCAAGCUGAGGUGAGAUCCUGUUGUACUGUCUAGUUUAAGCAGUGGGCGCAUCACCGGCCCGUCCCAUGGUUUGCUGUGGGUGCAAACUCAUUUGUUAUAAUCGGGGCGGAGCUAGAGCGUACAUGUUGAGACCCGAAAGAUGGUGAACUAUGCUUGCGUAGGUUGAAGCCAGAGGAAACUCUGGUGGAGGACCGUAGCGAUUCUGACGUGCAAAUCGAUCGUCAAACGUGAGUAUAGGGGCGAAAGACUAAUC
Molecule: ribosomal RNA, 1218 nt
Filed under: Plethorchis acanthus
Lineage: Eukaryota; Metazoa; Platyhelminthes; Trematoda; Strigeidida; Aporocotylidae
Description: eukaryotic LSU rRNA
Rfam family: Eukaryotic large subunit ribosomal RNA
Source: RNAcentral